UAAGUUACGCCCUGAAUGUACUUUUUCAGAUCCUGAUAUAAUUGAAUCGGUGUUCGUCGAGAUUGAUAUCCCGCAUGGAAAAAACAUAGUCGUGGGCUCAAUUUAUCGACCUCCUAAUCAAAAUAUGUCACUGUUUGUUGACAAGUUAAACGAAAUUCUUGGCAUAAUUUCUAAGGACAAUAAGCACUGUUAUGUAAUGGGCGAUUUUAACUCAGAUUUGCUUCAUUACAAUAACCAUGCACAUACUCAGGAAUUUGUCGACAGCUUAUUUUCAUAUGCAUUUUAUCCACUUAUUUCUAAACCAAC
Paramuricea clavata is the source of this 306-nucleotide non-coding RNA. NCBI's taxonomy places the organism in Eukaryota, Metazoa, Cnidaria, Anthozoa, Malacalcyonacea, Plexauridae. The record is from the annotation of a GenBank genome assembly.